Molecule: long non-coding RNA, 200 nt
Filed under: Elaeis guineensis (African oil palm)
Lineage: Eukaryota; Viridiplantae; Streptophyta; Magnoliopsida; Arecales; Arecaceae
Description: long non-coding RNA (EGUI_LNC052323)
Source: RNAcentral
CCCUCUCUACCUGUGGAAACACCUUUGGGGAGUGCUCCACCUAAAUGUCCAGUCCACCAGGUGCACUUGCAAAUGGCAAAAUAGUAUAGAAGGUGGCUGUCCACCACUGCCUGACUGGACCUCCUGCUGCUCCUGCUAUUCUUCCAUGCCUCCUUGCUUUUGGAGAAUUAAACUCUCAUCAAAGAUCACAUCUUUACUGA